AGUGAACGCUGGCGGUAGGCCUAACACAUGCAAGUCGAACGGCAGCACAGGAGAGCUUGCUCUCUGGGUGGCGAGUGGCGGACGGGUGAGGAAUACAUCGGAAUCUACCUUUUCGUGGGGGAUAACGUAGGGAAACUUACGCUAAUACCGCAUAAGACCUUCGGGUGAAAGCAGGGGACCUUCGGGCCUUGCGCGGAUAGAUGAGCCGAUGUCGGAUUAGCUUGUUGGCGGGGUAAAAGCCCACCAAGGCGACGAUCCGUAGCUGGUCUGAGAGGAUGAUCAGCCACACUGGAACUGAGACACGGUCCAGACUCCUACGGGAGGCAGCAGUAGGGAAUAUUGCGCAAUGGGGGGAACCCUGACGCAGCAACGCCACGUGUGGGAAGAAGCAUUUCGGUGUGUAAACCACUGUCGGAAAGGAAUAACGGAAGACUUCGGUCUUUAUGAAUGUACUUUUGGAGGAAGCACCGGCAAACUUCGUGCCAGCAGCCGCGGUAAUCAUACUACG
Molecule: ribosomal RNA, 508 nt
Filed under: uncultured bacterium
Lineage: Bacteria
Description: bacterial SSU rRNA
Rfam family: Bacterial small subunit ribosomal RNA
Source: RNAcentral